Molecule: ribosomal RNA, 406 nt
Filed under: Acidobacteriota bacterium
Lineage: Bacteria; Pseudomonadati; Acidobacteriota
Description: Acidobacteria bacterium partial 16S ribosomal RNA
Rfam family: Bacterial small subunit ribosomal RNA
Source: RNAcentral
UGGGGAAUCUUCCGCAAUGGGCGAAAGCCUGACGGAGCAAUGCCGCGUGGAGGUAGAAGGCCCCCGGGUCGUAAACUCCUUUUCUCGGAGAAGAAGCAGUGACGGUAUCCGAAGAAUAAGCAUCGGCUAACUCUGUGCCAGCAGCCGCGGUAAGACAGGGGAUGCAAGCGUUAUCCGGAAUGAUUGGGCGUAAAGCGUCUGUAGGUGGCUCCUUAAGUCCGCUGUCAAAUCCCAGGGCUCAACCCUGGACAGGCGGUGGAAACUACUAAGCUGGAGUACGGUAGGGGCAGGGGGAAUUUCCGGUGGAGCGGUGAAAUGCGUAGAGAUCGGAAAGAACACCAAAGGCGAAGGCACCCUGCUGGGCCGACACUGACACUGAGAGACGAAAGCUAGGGGAGCGAAUGGG